GUCAGAGAGCAGUGAUUGGUCAGACCAUAGAUAACAUAGAAGACAGCGCGCUAGCGUAUCUAGUGUAUGUGUAUCUAUGGUCGGCACAUCUGGUAGCACCUCUGGCUGCUGUUGAUCUUGUUUUUGGAGUAAAACACGGUGGAAGCUGAAUUAGUGAGGAUGACUCCUGCUCCUGUCAUCUCUAAGCUCCUCACACAUCUUUACCUGCACAUGAGGAAAAUCACUCCUGUAGAAUGCAGUGGUUCAUCAGAACCUCUGGGGAUGUCCUGUGGAUUCUGUGGAUCCUGUGGGUUGCAGGGUGGGUCCUACCUAGACCAGGCUGAUCCUGGACCAUCCCACAGAUGCUCAGUCAGAUCUGGAUGUGGGGAGUGUGGAACCCAGAUGUUCAGAGGGAGAUGAUGCCACAUCUGGUCCAGCUGAUGGAAGGUCUUGAAGUUCUCUGACUGGCCUCGACUGAAGAUGGUCGUCUCACUGGAUUUAAGGUUCAGAUGCUCAGUAACAAACUCCACCAAUGUGCCAACAGGGAAGCUUUAGGUUUAUUAAAUGUUGCUAUGAAGGUUUCGCUGUUUUUCUUUGUGAAUGCAAUGUGCUCCAACUGAAACUUGAAUUAGAACUUAGAAGUAAAUCCUUCCAUCUGAAAGGAUUUAGUUGCAUUAAUAACCUCAUAACAUUCUAAUUUUUAUUCCAGUCUUGGUUGAAAUAGAAUCUCUGUAUUGAUUCAGGUAAAAACUGAACUUCACAGCAUGUUGAAGCAAAACAACCAGAUGAAAACUGUGAUGGUGUUGGAUUGUCAGACCGUAAUGUUGCAGCUCAAAGCAGCUUUUCUAUCUCAGUUCAUUCUGACAUUCAGCUAUGAAUCAACACAGCAGAUGGUGAUCCAUGCUGUGGAAGUCUCACAUCUCCUGAUUUAAUGGAGCUGCUUUGCACUUUUUACACUGUUUAUUCACCAACACUUUAUUUAAUAAAAGUCCCAUCUAGUUUUUAUGAGGAAUGUGAUGUUUUAAUUCCUCUGUGAAUAACUGCAGUCUAAUGCAACAGCUGGAGUUGUAACAUCUGUCCUGAUAUUGAUCAUGAAGUAUUGAUCAGAAUACUUAUGGUUAGCAGUCAUCCCUGAAGUUUUACAUUAAAAUCUUUACUUGUGUUGUGAACUUUGGUAAGAAGCAGAAACGUUAGCGUUGCCAUGGAUACAUGAGUGUUAAAUUCUGUCCAUGUUUCCAUUUUGGGAAAUGCAGUCCAGUUCCAGAAUGUGGAGGAAUUUAGUCUCACAAUCACAGACAAUAAAUAUUAUCUGAAAGUUGGGUUAUUGUUGUUUAUCAGCACAAUACAAAAAGAUUAAUGUUAGAAAUAUUCCAGUUAAGACUCUGGAAUAUCAUGAUUUAUGUAAAUUUACCUCAAUAAUAUGAAUGUCCAGGUUAAGAUUGUGCAGUGAUAUUUAUUAUGUAAGUUUAGCUGAUUAAAGUUUAUGACUCUGCACUACAAUAUUAUUUAUUAUUUAAAUGUACAUCAUUAUUAUAAUAUUUAGGGUCAGACCCUACAGUAUUGACAUUAAGAAAUCAAAUAUUCUAUAAAAUGUAAAUACACUGAACUCAUUUGGAUAUAUUUAAGUGAGACUCUACAAUAUUGACACAAAUCUAUCUAAAUCAAAAUUUUUAUCAUUUUUACUCCAAACAUUUACUGGACUGAUUUAAAUAUUAAAAUCACUCCUUUAAUCCUCUGCUGUACGUUCAGACCUGAGGCCUUAAAUAGAAACACACAAGUAUCUGUUUGAAGGAACUUCUGCAGAGUCCUGGUUCCAGAACAUGAUGAUAGAAUUAUAGACAAACUUUAACAAAAGCUGCCUGAGAGUUUACAGGUUUUUAUGUUGGAUUUCUUCAGUAAUUUAAUGAGAGUUAUCAGCAAUAAUCAAGUUUUCAUUUGAUGAACUUCAUUUCCUCAAACAUCCAGAAUUGGAGCUCAUAUCUUUGGCAGCUGUAAAGUUUCUGCUCCUUCAAAGUUCACAACACAAUGAAUGAAUUCCUAAAACACUCUCAAUGCUGGAGAGCGUUUGAUGCUGAAGCAGUGAUCAGUUUUUCUGUUUCUUCUCUGGAGAUGCACAAUGAGGGACGUCUGCAGAGACUGAGAAAGAGUCUCACCACAUCCUGACAUGAGGAAAAAGACUUUAUUGAAGACUACAAUGAGAAAAACUAUCAGACAGCAGACGGCUGCAUUCAAGGUGAGCUCUGAACAUUUGAUCUGGAACAGGAAUUCAAUAACGGCAGCAUGAGCUUCAUUUCAGUCUGUAGCUGCUGAAUUCAUGGAUGAAUCAUCUGGCACUAGAGAAGAAGACCAUCAAACAUCCAUGUCAGCUGAUGAAGGUCCAAGAGUCUCACCAAACAAACAACCUACAGAGUGAAGACCUCAAAUCUGAUUGGACGGCCUCCUAUUCAGCCACAUGUGUGAACAAAUGCCUCUAAGCUGAUUUGUUUUCUAAAAUAAAUCUAGUUUGAGUCCUAA
Amphiprion ocellaris (clown anemonefish) is the source of this 2493-nucleotide long non-coding RNA. RefSeq lists it as uncharacterized. The record is from RefSeq and is a predicted model, not a curated record. The transcript is spliced from 4 exons. NCBI's taxonomy places the organism in Eukaryota, Metazoa, Chordata, Actinopteri, Pomacentridae.